GGCACCUUCGGUGUCCGAGUUGUAAUUUGAAGAUUGUAACCUUGGGGUUGGCUCUUGUCUAUGUUUCUUGGAACAGGACGUCACAGAGGGUGAGAAUCCCGUGCGAUGAGAUGCCCAAUCCUAUGUAAGGUGCUUUCGAAGAGUCGAGUUGUUUGGGAAUGCAGCUCUAAGUGGGUGGUAAAUUCCAUCUAAAGCUAAAUAUUGGCGAGAGACCGAUAGCGAACAAGUACAGUGAUGGAAAGAUGAAAAGAACUUUGAAAAGAGAGUGAAAAAGUACGUGAAAUUGUUGAAAGGGAAGGGUUUGAGAUCAGACUCGAUAUUUUGUGAGCCUUGCCUUCGUGGCGGGGUGACCCGCAGCUUAUCGGGCCAGCAUCGGUUUGGGCGGUAGGAUAAUGGCGUAGGAAUGUGACUUUGCUUCGGUGAAGUGUUAUAGCCUGCGUUGAUGCUGCCUGCCUAGACCGAGGACUGCGAUUUUAUCAAGGAUGCUGGCAUAAUGAUCCCAAACCGCCCGUCUG
RNAcentral lists this ribosomal RNA (515 nucleotides) under Meyerozyma caribbica. RNAcentral describes it as "LSU rRNA". It matches the Rfam family "Eukaryotic large subunit ribosomal RNA", at positions 124 to 655 of the family's 3401-position model. Lineage: Eukaryota; Fungi; Ascomycota; Pichiomycetes; Serinales; Debaryomycetaceae. The record is from RNAcentral.